UCCCUGGUGGCUCAGUGGUUAAGGGUCCGCCUUACAAUGGCGGGGACACAGGUUCAAUCCCUGGUCCGGGAA
This 72-nucleotide transfer RNA is filed under the name Bos taurus (domestic cattle). It matches the Rfam family "tRNA". From Rfam's summary of the family: Transfer RNA (tRNA) molecules are approximately 80 nucleotides in length. Lineage: Eukaryota; Metazoa; Chordata; Mammalia; Artiodactyla; Bovidae. The record is from Rfam by way of RNAcentral. RNAcentral also lists the same sequence under 2 other names.